UGCAGUCGAGCGAACUGAUUAGAAGCUUGCUUCUAUGACGUUAGCGGCGGACGGGUGAGUAACACGUGGGCAACCUGCCUGUAAGACUGGGAUAACUUCGGGAAACCGAAGCUAAUACCGGAUAGGAUCUUCUCCUUCAUGGGAGAUGAUUGAAAGAUGGUUUCGGCUAUCACUUACAGAUGGGCCCGCGGUGCAUUAGCUAGUUGGUGAGGUAACGGCUCACCAAGGCAACGAUGCAUAGCCGACCUGAGAGGGUGAUCGGCCACACUGGGACUGAGACACGGCCCAGACUCCUACGGGAGGCAGCAGUAGGGAAUCUUCCGCAAUGGACGAAAGUCUGACGGAGCAACGCCGCGUGAGUGAUGAAGGCUUUCGGGUCGUAAAACUCUGUUGUUAGGGAAGAACAAGUACGAGAGUAACUGCUUGUACCUUGACGGUACCUAACCAGAAAGCCACGGCUAACUACGUGCCAGCAGCCGCGGUAAUACGUAGGUGGCAAGCGUUAUCCGGAAUUAUUGGGCGUAAAGCGCGCGCAGGCGGUUUCUUAAGUCUGAUGUGAAAGCCCACGGCUCAACCGUGGAGGGUCAUUGGAAACUGGGGAACUUGAGUGCAGAAGAGAAAAGCGGAAUUCCACGUGUAGCGGUGAAAUGCGUAGAGAUGUGGAGGAACACCAGUGGCGAAGGCGGCUUUUUUGGUCUGUAACUGACGCUGAGGCGCGAAAGCGUGGGGA
This 730-nucleotide ribosomal RNA is filed under the name Priestia aryabhattai. RNAcentral describes it as "bacterial SSU rRNA". It matches the Rfam family "Bacterial small subunit ribosomal RNA", at positions 56 to 767 of the family's 1533-position model. Lineage: Bacteria; Bacillati; Bacillota; Bacilli; Caryophanales; Bacillaceae. The record is from RNAcentral.